GACGAACGCUGGCGGCGUGCCUAUUACAUGCAAGUCGAACGAAGCUGGUUUAACUGGUGCUUGCACCGACUUAAACAACUGAGUGGCGAACGGGUGAGUAACACGUGGGUAACCUGCCCCAAAGCGGGGGAUAACAUUUGGAAACAGAUGCUAAUACCGCAUAAUCACAGAAACCACAUGGUUUCUGUGUCAAAGAUGGUUUCGGCUAUCACUUUGGGAUGGACCCGCGGCGUAUUAGCUAGUUGGUAAGGUAAUGGCUUACCAAGGAAAUGCUACGGAGCCGAACUGAGAGGUUGAACAGCCACAUUGGGACUGAGACACGGCCCAAACUCCUACGGGAGGCAGCAGUAGGGAAUCUUCCACAAUGGACGAAAGUCGGAUGGAGCAACGCCGCGUGAGUGAAGAAGGUUUUCGGAUCGUAAAACUCUGUUGUCAGAGAAGAACGUGUGCGAGAGUAACUGUUCGUGCAGUGACGGUAUCUGGCCAGAAAGCCACGGCUAACUACGUGCCAGCCGCCGCGGUAA
Molecule: ribosomal RNA, 524 nt
Filed under: uncultured bacterium
Lineage: Bacteria
Description: partial 16S ribosomal RNA
Rfam family: Bacterial small subunit ribosomal RNA
Source: RNAcentral